GACGAACGCUGGCGGCGUGCUUAACACAUGCAAGUCGAACGAAGAGCGAUGGAAGCUUGCUUCUAUCAAUCUUAGUGGCGCACGGGUGAGUAACGCGUAAUCAACCUGCCCUUCAGAGGGGGACAACAGUUGGAAACGACUGCUAAUACCGCAUACGAUCUAAUCUCGGCAUCGAGGAUAGAUGAAAGGUGGCCUCUACAUGUAAGCUAUCACUGAAGGAGGGGAUUGCGUCUGAUUAGCUAGUUGGAGGGGUAACGGCCCACCAAGGCGAUGAUCAGUAGCCGGUCUGAGAGGAUGAACGGCCACAUUGGGACUGGGACAAGGCCCAGACUCCUACGGGAGGCAGCAGUGGGGAAUCUUCCGGAAUGGACGAAAGGCUGACGGAGCAACGCCGCGUGAGUGAUGACGGCCUUCGGGUUGUAAAGCUCUGUUAAUCGGGACGAAAGGCCUUCUUGCGAAUAGUGAGAAGGAUUGACGGUACCGGAAUAGAAAGCCACGGCUAACUACGUG
This 510-nucleotide ribosomal RNA is filed under the name uncultured bacterium. Its description in RNAcentral is "partial 16S ribosomal RNA". It matches the Rfam family "Bacterial small subunit ribosomal RNA", at positions 28 to 507 of the family's 1533-position model. The record is from RNAcentral.